RNAcentral lists this ribosomal RNA (484 nucleotides) under uncultured bacterium. RNAcentral describes it as "partial 16S ribosomal RNA". It matches the Rfam family "Bacterial small subunit ribosomal RNA", at positions 30 to 507 of the family's 1533-position model. The record is from RNAcentral.
AUUGAACGCUGGCGGCAGGCCUAACACAUGCAAGUCGAGCGGAUGAAGGGGGCUUGCUCCUGGAUUCAGCGGCGGACGGGUGAGUAAUGCCUAGGAAUCUGCCUGGUAGUGGGGGAUAACGUCCGGAAACGGGCGCUAAUACCGCAUACGUCCUGAGGGAGAAAGUGGGGGAUCUUCGGACCUCACGCUAUCAGAUGAGCCUAGGUCGGAUUAGCUAGUUGGUGGGGUAAAGGCCUACCAAGGCGACGAUCCGUAACUGGUCUGAGAGGAUGAUCAGUCACACUGGAACUGAGACACGGUCCAGACUCCUACGGGAGGCAGCAGUGGGGAAUAUUGGACAAUGGGCGAAAGCCUGAUCCAGCCAUGCCGCGUGUGUGAAGAAGGUCUUCGGAUUGUAAAGCACUUUAAGUUGGGAGGAAGGGCAGUAAGUUAAUACCUUUCUGUUUUGACGUUACCAACAGAAUAAGCACCGGCUAACUUCGUG